This 2015-nucleotide ribosomal RNA is filed under the name Cronobacter sakazakii. Its description in RNAcentral is "bacterial LSU rRNA". It matches the Rfam family "Bacterial large subunit ribosomal RNA", at positions 692 to 2690 of the family's 2925-position model. The record is from RNAcentral. Lineage: Bacteria; Pseudomonadati; Pseudomonadota; Gammaproteobacteria; Enterobacterales; Enterobacteriaceae.
GCGUUAAGUUGCAGGGUAUAGACCCGAAACCCGGUGAUCUAGCCAUGGGCAGGUUGAAGGUUGGGUAACACUAACUGGAGGACCGAACCGACUAAUGUUGAAAAAUUAGCGGAUGACCUGUGGCUGGGGGUGAAAGGCCAAUCAAACCGGGAGAUAGCUGGUUCUCCCCGAAAGCUAUUUAGGUAGCGCCUCGUGAACUCAUCUCCGGGGGUAGAGCACUGUUUCGGCUAGGGGGCCAUCCCGGCUUACCAACCCGAUGCAAACUGCGAAUACCGGAGAAUGUUAUCACGGGAGACACACGGCGGGUGCUAACGUCCGUCGUGAAGAGGGAAACAACCCAGACCGCCAGCUAAGGUCCCAAAGUCAUGGUUAAGUGGGAAACGAUGUGGGAAGGCCCAGACAGCCAGGAUGUUGGCUUAGAAGCAGCCAUCAUUUAAAGAAAGCGUAAUAGCUCACUGGUCGAGUCGGCCUGCGCGGAAGAUGUAACGGGGCUAAACCAUGCACCGAAGCUGCGGCAGCGACGCUUAUGCGUUGUUGGGUAGGGGAGCGUUCUGUAAGCCUGCGAAGGUGUGCUGUGAGGCAUGCUGGAGGUAUCAGAAGUGCGAAUGCUGACAUAAGUAACGAUAAAGCGGGUGAAAAGCCCGCUCGCCGGAAGACCAAGGGUUCCUGUCCAACGUUAAUCGGGGCAGGGUGAGUCGACCCCUAAGGCGAGGCCGAAAGGCGUAGUCGAUGGGAAACAGGUUAAUAUUCCUGUACUUGGUGUUACUGCGAAGGGGGGACGGAGAAGGCUAUGUCGGCCGGGCGACGGUUGUCCCGGUUUAAGCGUGUAGGCUGACUUUCCAGGCAAAUCCGGAAAGUUAAGGCUGAGGCGUGAUGACGAGGCACUACGGUGCUGAAGUGACAAAUGCCCUGCUUCCAGGAAAAGCCUCUAAGCAUCAGGUAACAUCAAAUCGUACCCCAAACCGACACAGGUGGUCAGGUAGAGAAUACCAAGGCGCUUGAGAGAACUCGGGUGAAGGAACUAGGCAAAAUGGUGCCGUAACUUCGGGAGAAGGCACGCUGACAUGUAGGUGAAGCCCCUGCGGGUGGAGCUGAAGUCAGUCGAAGAUACCAGCUGGCUGCAACUGUUUAUUAAAAACACAGCACUGUGCAAACACGAAAGUGGACGUAUACGGUGUGACGCCUGCCCGGUGCCGGAAGGUUAAUUGAUGGGGUUAUCGCAAGAGAAGCUCCUGAUCGAAGCCCCGGUAAACGGCGGCCGUAACUAUAACGGUCCUAAGGUAGCGAAAUUCCUUGUCGGGUAAGUUCCGACCUGCACGAAUGGCGUAAUGAUGGCCAGGCUGUCUCCACCCGAGACUCAGUGAAAUUGAACUCGCUGUGAAGAUGCAGUGUACCCGCGGCAAGACGGAAAGACCCCGUGAACCUUUACUACAGCUUGACACUGAACAUUGAGCCUUGAUGUGUAGGAUAGGUGGGAGGCUUUGAAGCGUGGACGCCAGUCUGCGUGGAGCCGACCUUGAAAUACCACCCUUUAAUGUUUGAUGUUCUAACCUGGCGCCGUGAUCCGGCGUGGGGACAGUGUCUGGUGGGUAGUUUGACUGGGGCGGUCUCCUCCCAAAGUGUAACGGAGGAGCACGAAGGUCAGCUAAUCCUGGUCGGACAUCAGGAGGUUAGUGCAAUGGCAUAAGCUGGCUUGACUGCGAGAGUGACGGCUCGAGCAGGUGCGAAAGCAGGUCAUAGUGAUCCGGUGGUUCUGUAUGGAAGGGCCAUCGCUCAACGGAUAAAAGGUACUCCGGGGAUAACAGGCUGAUACCGCCCAAGAGUUCAUAUCGACGGCGGUGUUUGGCACCUCGAUGUCGGCUCAUCACAUCCUGGGGCUGAAGUAGGUCCCAAGGGUAUGGCUGUUCGCCAUUUAAAGUGGUACGCGAGCUGGGUUUAGAACGUCGUGAGACAGUUCGGUCCCUAUCUGCCGUGGGCGCUGGAGAAUUGAGGGGGGCUGCUCCCAGUACGAGAGG